RNAcentral lists this ribosomal RNA (730 nucleotides) under uncultured Serratia sp. RNAcentral describes it as "bacterial SSU rRNA". It matches the Rfam family "Bacterial small subunit ribosomal RNA", at positions 771 to 1501 of the family's 1533-position model. The record is from RNAcentral. Lineage: Bacteria; Pseudomonadati; Pseudomonadota; Gammaproteobacteria; Enterobacterales; Yersiniaceae.
AACCGGAUUAGAUACCCUGGUAGUCCACGCUGUAAACGAUGUCGAUUUGGAGGUUGUGCCCUUGAGGCGUGGCUUCCGGAGCUAACGCGUUAAAUCGACCGCCUGGGGAGUACGGCCGCAAGGUUAAAACUCAAAUGAAUUGACGGGGGCCCGCACAAGCGGUGGAGCAUGUGGUUUAAUUCGAUGCAACGCGAAGAACCUUACCUACUCUUGACAUCCAGAGAACUUUCCAGAGAUGGAUUGGUGCCUUCGGGAACUCUGAGACAGGUGCUGCAUGGCUGUCGUCAGCUCGUGUUGUGAAAUGUUGGGUUAAGUCCCGCAACGAGCGCAACCCUUAUCCUUUGUUGCCAGCGGUUCGGCCGGGAACUCAAAGGAGACUGCCAGUGAUAAACUGGAGGAAGGUGGGGAUGACGUCAAGUCAUCAUGGCCCUUACGAGUAGGGCUACACACGUGCUACAAUGGCGUAUACAAAGAGAAGCGACCUCGCGAGAGCAAGCGGACCUCAUAAAGUACGUCGUAGUCCGGAUUGGAGUCUGCAACUCGACUCCAUGAAGUCGGAAUCGCUAGUAAUCGUAGAUCAGAAUGCUACGGUGAAUACGUUCCCGGGCCUUGUACACACCGCCCGUCACACCAUGGGAGUGGGUUGCAAAAGAAGUAGGUAGCUUAACCUUCGGGAGGGCGCUUACCACUUUGUGAUUCAUGACUGGGGUGAAGUCGUAACAAGGUAGCC